Molecule: ribosomal RNA, 391 nt
Filed under: uncultured bacterium
Lineage: Bacteria
Description: bacterial SSU rRNA
Rfam family: Bacterial small subunit ribosomal RNA
Source: RNAcentral
GACGAACGCUGGCGGCGUGCUUAACACAUGCAAGUCGAGCGGUAAGGCCCUUUCGGGGGUACGACGAGCGGCGAACGGGUGAGUAACACGUGGGUGACCUGCCCUCAGCUCUGGGAUAAGCCUGGGAAACCGGGUCUAAUACCGGAUAUGACUCCAUGACGCAUGUUGUGGGGUGGAAAGCCUUGUGCGGCUGAGGAUGGGCCCGCGGCCUAUCAGCUUGUUGGUGGGGUGAUGGCCUACCAAGGCGACGACGGGUAGCCGGCCAGAGAGGGCGACCGGCCACACUGGGACUGAGACACGGCCCAGACUCCUACGGGAGGCAGCAGUGGGGAAUCUUGCGCAAUGGGCGAAAGCCUGACGCAGCGACGCCGCGUGAGGGAUGACGGCCUGG